CUACGGGUUGCUGCAGUGAGGAAUUUUGCGCAAUGGGGGAAACCCUGACGCAGCAACGCCGCGUGAGCGAAGAAGGCCUUCGGGUCGUAAAGCUCUGUCAAGUGGGAAAAAACGCUUUAGAUUAAUAGUCUAAAGAAUUGAUGGUACCACUAGAGGAAGCACCGGCUAACUCCGUGCCAGCAGCCGCGGUAAUACGGAGGGUGCAAGCGUUGUUCGGAAUUACUGGGCGUAAAGCGCGUGCAGGCGGUUUGGCAAGUCAGAUGUGAAAGCCCUGGGCUCAACCCGGGAAGUGCAUUUGAAACUGCCUUUCUUGAGUAUGGGAGAGGAGAGUGGAAUUCCCAGUGUAGAGGUGAAAUUCGUAGAUAUUGGGAGGAACACCCGUGGCGAAGGCGACUCUCUGGACCAAUACUGACGCUGAGACGCGAAAGCGUGGGGAGCAAACAGGAUUAGAUACCCUGGUAGUC
This 464-nucleotide ribosomal RNA is filed under the name uncultured bacterium. RNAcentral's name for it is "partial 16S ribosomal RNA". It matches the Rfam family "Bacterial small subunit ribosomal RNA", at positions 339 to 795 of the family's 1533-position model. The record is from RNAcentral.